This 613-nucleotide ribosomal RNA is filed under the name uncultured rumen bacterium. RNAcentral describes it as "bacterial SSU rRNA". It matches the Rfam family "Bacterial small subunit ribosomal RNA", at positions 8 to 653 of the family's 1533-position model. The record is from RNAcentral.
AGAGUUUGAUCAUGGCUCACGAUGACGCUGGCGGCGUGCUUACACAUGCAGUUGCGCGGGAUUUGACGAUGAGACUUCGUGAUUGUUAGAUCCAAGCGGCGGACGGGUGAGUAAAGCACAAGGACGUGUCCGAGCGAGGGGGACAACUGCGGGAAACCGUAGCUAAUACCCCGUAAGCCGAGAGGUGAAAGCAGCAAUGCGCGAGCGGAGCGACUUGUGUCCUAUCAGGUAGUUGGUGAGGCAACGGCUCACCAAGCCGAAGACGGGUAGCCGGACUGAGAGGUUGUACGGCCACAUUGGAACUGAGAAACGGUCCAGACUCCUACGGGAGGCAGCAGUGGGGAAUAUUGGGCAGUGGGGGCAACCCUGACCCACCGACGCCGCGUGAGGGAAGACAGCCUUCGGGUUGUAAACCUCUGUUGCAGGGGAAGAAGGACGUGACGGUACCCUGCGAGGAAGCUCCGGCUAACUACGUGCCAGCAGCCGCGGUAAUACGUAGGGAGCGAGCGUUGUCCGGAAUUACUGGGCGUAAAGGCGCGAGGCGGUUUGCAGUCAACUGUCAAAUCGCGGGCUAACCCCGCUCCGCAGUUGAAACUGUAGACUGAGCACAGAG